GGUGCCAAGCAACAACUUCUCAUUUUCACUGGCUAACAGAUGCUGGGAUCUUUUAGAGAAGUAAGGAGUAUACCGGGAUUUAUUUCGCUUCGACAAGGACAUGAUGAAGUUGGACAAAAAUGAAAAGGUACUUGCAAGAGGAUUGCCUAGUAUCCACCAUGUGAACGACACUAAUAUGGUUAUAUCCUACAUAAGAGGUCCUCUUCUCUUCGUAUUUAACUUUCACCCCAUGGAUUCAUAUGAAAGAUACUGCGUUGGUGUG
This is a long non-coding RNA of Hibiscus syriacus, 262 nucleotides long. RefSeq lists it as uncharacterized. The transcript is spliced from 3 exons. Lineage: Eukaryota; Viridiplantae; Streptophyta; Magnoliopsida; Malvales; Malvaceae. The record is from RefSeq and is a predicted model, not a curated record.